CGAGUCUUUUCUAUAGGACUACUUGAUUGUUUGUAUUGCUUCUUUUCUGUUAUCACUGUGUAUCAAUGAAUUUGUAUUAUCAAAUGGAAAGGUAGUGGUUGGUGUGAGGGUGGGUCUCCCCAGAACAAGGUAUCUGAAUCCUAAAUCCAAAGUCAACACUUGGCUCUGAAUAAUUGGCUAACAGAAAAGAAGCAAUGCAAACUAUCAAGCAGAUUUUCUUCCUAGGUUUUUGUGUUUAACCCACAAAUGAUAGAAAUGUUAGCUUAUAGUUUGAUUUCUAAGGGAUCCAUUACUGAGGUGUGGGAGGCACAUUAUUGCAUACACUUUUUUUCUACGUAGGUAUCUAGUGGUAUCUGAAAUGUGAAGUAGGAAAAGGUCAAUGGAUGUUAUGAUAAAACCUGUUUUGGGAAACAAUAUUUUAAAAUAUGGUUUAAAGAUUCGGCGGUCUGACCUGAGGUGCCUUUUGCAAUGUAAGUUGCUUUCCCUGUUGGUUGGCUGUGCCUGUUUCAGGGUAACAUUUCACAUGGUGAGAGACAGAGAGAAAUUUAUCUGCUCAAAGUGGAAAUAUCAGGAAAGAAGUCUCCUUCCUAUUCCUCAAAUGAAUUCAACUCUAACAGGCCAUCCUCUACUAUCAAUGCAAAUUCUACUAGCAAAAUCUGUGUCUCAAAAUUAUCAAAUGCAAUAUAAAUGUGAGAAUUUACACAUUGGUCUAACUUACAUUAUCAGGUAAGUAAUGAGAGGUAUAUAUAUACUCAGCUGUCUGCUGUAUAUGAAUGAUGGGCAUAAAUUGUUAUUGCUUAUCUUUUGUAGUUGCAUUUGCAGGUGGAAUUUUGAGAGUCUGUAUUUUGCAGUACAGAAAAAAAAUGGAUCUGUUUUGAAAUUUGCCAAUAAAUUGAUUUUUUUCCCCUCUCA
This 912-nucleotide long non-coding RNA is filed under the name Crocodylus porosus (Australian saltwater crocodile). Its description in RNAcentral is "lncRNA (ENSCPRG00005004287.1)". Lineage: Eukaryota; Metazoa; Chordata; Crocodylia; Crocodylidae. The record is from RNAcentral.